GAGGUCCACCAAUAUAUCUGAUGCCUCCGGUAGUGUACAAGCAUGCUUGAUGGCCUCGGUCCUCUCACCUGAGUGUUGUUUUACAGAUGUCAUCGCCAAAUGAAGGUCGUGCCUCGGUCACGCUAAGUAACCUGCGAGUCACUAUAUAGGCAGGAACGUGGAGUGCUCGGGUCUGGCAGUGCAGAAUUUGAUAGCAACGUCCCCUGACCUAGAAGGCGCCUCCCACUUCGACGAUGAGGUGGACACUCUUACUGUUGACUUAAAGUACAUCACUAGCACAGGAUUCACGACACUCGCCUACAACGAUUGCCCGGACGACAACAUGCUGACACUGGAGGUGAACGCCACGCUCACUGACGCCUACUGGAACGACAACAAUGCCACCGUGGGAGUCGCCCUGCAGAUAGAGAGCGGGUCUACCAUCCCGGUGGUGAGGAAGGUGGCGUCACUGCAGGUGGUGCGAAGAACAUC
This is a long non-coding RNA of Homarus americanus (American lobster), 471 nucleotides long. RefSeq lists it as uncharacterized. The record is from RefSeq and is a predicted model, not a curated record. The transcript is spliced from 4 exons. Lineage: Eukaryota; Metazoa; Arthropoda; Malacostraca; Decapoda; Nephropidae.